UACAGAGGGUGCGAGCGUUGUUCGGAAUUAUUGGGCGUAAAGAGCGUGUAGGCGGCUCGGUAAGUCCGCUGUGAAAGUCCAGGGCUCAACCCUGGAAUGCCAGUGGAAACUGUCGAGCUAGAGUCCGGAAGAGGCGAGUGGAAUUCCUGGUGUAGCGGUGAAAUGCGCAGACAUCAGGAGGAACACCAAUGGCGAAGGCAGCUCGCUGGGCAGUAACUGACGCUGAGGAGCGAAAGCGUGGGGAGCGAACAGG
RNAcentral lists this ribosomal RNA (253 nucleotides) under uncultured bacterium. Its description in RNAcentral is "partial 16S ribosomal RNA". It matches the Rfam family "Bacterial small subunit ribosomal RNA", at positions 524 to 776 of the family's 1533-position model. The record is from RNAcentral.